Molecule: ribosomal RNA, 450 nt
Filed under: uncultured bacterium
Lineage: Bacteria
Description: bacterial SSU rRNA
Rfam family: Bacterial small subunit ribosomal RNA
Source: RNAcentral
UGGCCAGACUCCUACGGGAGGCAGCAGUGGGGAAUAUUGCACAAUGGGGGAAACCCUGAUGCAGCGACGCCGCGUGAGCGAAGAAGUCUUUCGGUAUGUAAAGCUCUAUCAGCAGGGAAGAAAAAAAUGACGGUACCUGAGUAAGAAGCACCGGCUAAAUACGUGCCAGCAGCCGCGGUAAUACGUAUGGUGCAAGCGUUAUCCGGAUUUACUGGGUGUAAAGGGAGCGUAGGCGGCGCGUUAAGUCUGAUGGGAAAACCCGAGGCUCAACCACGGGAGUGCAUUGGAAACUGGCGGGCUGGAGUGCCGGAGAGGUAAGCGGAAUUCCUAGUGUAGCGGUGAAAUGCGUAGAUAUCAGGAGGAACACCGGCGGCGAAGGCGGCCUGCUGGACCGUAACUGACGUUGAGGCUCGAAAGCGUGGGGAGCAAACAGGAUUAGAUCCCCCAGUA